Molecule: ribosomal RNA, 253 nt
Filed under: uncultured bacterium
Lineage: Bacteria
Description: partial 16S ribosomal RNA
Rfam family: Bacterial small subunit ribosomal RNA
Source: RNAcentral
UACGUAGGGGGCGAGCGUUGUCCGGAUUUAUUGGGCGUAAAGAGCGUGUAGGCGGCCUGGCAGGUCUGCUGUGAAAACUCGAGGCUCAACCUCGAGAUGUCGGCGGAAACCGUCUGGCUAGAAUCCGGAAGAGGAGAGUGGAAUUCCUGGUGUAGCGGUGAAAUGCGCAGAUAUCAGGAGGAACACCGGUGGCGAAGCCGGUUCUCUGGGCAUUACCUGACGCUGAGGAGCGAAAGCGUGGGGAGCGAACAGG